Molecule: ribosomal RNA, 271 nt
Filed under: uncultured bacterium
Lineage: Bacteria
Description: partial 16S ribosomal RNA
Rfam family: Bacterial small subunit ribosomal RNA
Source: RNAcentral
UACGGAGGAUCCAAGCGUUAUCCGGAUUUAUUGGGUUUAAAGGGUGCGUAGGCGGCUUAUUAAGUCAGUGGUGAAAGCCCCCGACUCAAUCGGGGAACUGCCAUAGAUACUGUUAUUCUUGAGUGUGGUUGAGGUGGGCGGAAUAUGACAUGUAGCGGUGAAAUGCGUAGAUAUGUCAUAGAACACCGAUCGCGAAGGCAGCUCGCCAAACCAUUACUGACACUGAAACACGAAAGUGCGGGGAUCAAACAGGAUUAGAUACCCGGGUAGU